GUGGGGAAUCUUGCGCAAUGGGCGAAAGCCUGACGCAGCCAUGCCGCGUGAAUGAUGAAGGUCUUAGGAUUGUAAAAUUCUUUCACCGGGGACGAUAAUGACGGUACCCGGAGAAGAAGCCCCGGCUAACUUCGUGCCAGCAGCCGCGGUAAUACGAAGGGGGCUAGCGUUGCUCGGAAUUACUGGGCGUAAAGGGCGCGUAGGCGGACAGUUUAGUCAGAGGUGAAAGCCCAGGGCUCAACCUUGGAAUUGCCUUUGAUACUGGCUGUCUUGAGUACGGGAGAGGUGAGUGGAACUCCGAGUGUAGAGGUGAAAUUCGUAGAUAUUCGGAAGAACACCAGUGGCGAAGGCGACUCACUGGCCCGUUACUGACGCUGAGGCGCGAAAGCGUGGGGAGCAAACAGGAUUAGAUAUCCUGGUGUCC
Molecule: ribosomal RNA, 424 nt
Filed under: uncultured bacterium
Lineage: Bacteria
Description: partial 16S ribosomal RNA
Rfam family: Bacterial small subunit ribosomal RNA
Source: RNAcentral